Molecule: ribosomal RNA, 477 nt
Filed under: Candidatus Scalindua brodae
Lineage: Bacteria; Pseudomonadati; Planctomycetota; Candidatus Brocadiia; Candidatus Brocadiales; Candidatus Scalinduaceae
Also listed under: 1 other name
Description: bacterial SSU rRNA
Rfam family: Bacterial small subunit ribosomal RNA
Source: RNAcentral
UUCGCAAUGCCCGAAAGGGUGACGAAGCGACGCCGCGUGGGUGAGGAAGGCCUUCGGGUUGUAAAGCCCUGUCAGGAGUUAAGAAAUGUAAGUGUGCUAAUAUCGCGUUUACUUGACGAAGGCUCCAAAGGAAGUCACGGCUAACUCUGUGCCAGCAGCCGCGGUAAUACAGAGGUGGCAAGCGUUGUUCGGAAUUAUUGGGCGUAAAGAGCACGUAGGUGGGUUUGUAAGUCAGAUGUGAAAGCCUUCUGUUCAACGGAAGAAUUGCAUCUGAAACUGCGAGUCUUGAGUGUAGGAGGGGAGAAUGGAACUUCUGGUGGAGCGGUGAAAUGCGUAGGUAUCAGAAGGAACGCCGGCGGCGAAAGCGAUUCUCUGGCCUAUUACUGACACUCAGUGUGCGAAAGCUAGGGGAGCAAACGGGAUUAGAUACCCCGGUAGUCCUAGCCGUAAACGAUGGGCACUAAGUAGAGGGGUUUU